Molecule: ribosomal RNA, 516 nt
Filed under: Boophis pyrrhus
Lineage: Eukaryota; Metazoa; Chordata; Amphibia; Anura; Mantellidae
Description: partial 16S ribosomal RNA
Rfam family: Bacterial large subunit ribosomal RNA
Source: RNAcentral
UAGCCUGCCCAGUGACAAGAUUCAACGGCCGCGGUACCCUAACCGUGCGAAGGUAGCAUAAUCACUUGUUCUUUAAAUGAGGACUAGUAUCAACGGCAUCACGAGGAUCUUACUGUCUCCCCCCUCUAAUCAGUGAAACUGAUCUCCCCGUGAAGAAGCGGGGAUAAAUUUAUAAGACGAGAAGACCCCAUGGAGCUUUAAGCCUACAGCACCUGUUAAUUUUAUGCCAUCAUAUUCUUCUAGUAAUGCUUGUUCCGCUUUGGGUUGGGGUGACCAUGGAGCAAAAAAUAGCCUCCACGAAGAAAGGGAUAAAACCCUUAUCAAAGAGUUACAUCUCUAUGAAUUAGAACACUAACUUUUAAUGAUCCGAUAAUCGAUCAACGAACCAAGUUACCCUGGGGAUAACAGCGCAAUCCAUCUCAAGAGCUCCUAUCGACAGGUGGGUUUACGACCUCGAUGUUGGAUCAGGGUUUCCCAGUGGUGCAACAGCUACUAAAGGUUCGUUUCGUUUCAACG